RNAcentral lists this ribosomal RNA (441 nucleotides) under uncultured bacterium. Its description in RNAcentral is "bacterial SSU rRNA". It matches the Rfam family "Bacterial small subunit ribosomal RNA", at positions 958 to 1398 of the family's 1533-position model. The record is from RNAcentral.
AACGCGAAGAACCUUACCCAGACUUGACAUCCUUGGAAUCCUUCAGAGAUGAGGGAGUGCUCGCAAGAGAGCCAGGAGACAGGUGCUGCAUGGCUGUCGUCAGCUCGUGUCGUGAGAUGUUGGGUUAAGUCCCGCAACGAGCGCAACCCUCGCCUUUAGUUGCCAGCAUUCAGUUGGGCACUCUAGAGGGACUGCCGGUGUCAAGCCGGAGGAAGGUGGGGAUGACGUCAAGUCCUCAUGGCCUUUAUGUCUGGGGCUACACACGUGCUACAAUGGCCGGUACAAAGGGCAGCGAAGGCGCGAGCCGGAGCCAAUCCCAGAAAACCGGUCCCAGUUCGGAUCGAAGUCUGCAACUCGACUUCGUGAAGUCGGAAUCGCUAGUAAUCGCGGAUCAGAACGCCGCGGUGAAUACGUUCCCGGGCCUUGUACACACCGCUAGUC